Molecule: ribosomal RNA, 253 nt
Filed under: uncultured bacterium
Lineage: Bacteria
Description: partial 16S ribosomal RNA
Rfam family: Bacterial small subunit ribosomal RNA
Source: RNAcentral
UACGUAGGGUGCGAGCGUUGUCCGGAAUUAUUGGGCGUAAAGAGCGUGUAGGCGGCCAUGCAGGUCCGUUGUGAAAACUCGAGGCUCAACCUCGAGACGUCGAUGGAAACCGCAUGGCUAGAGUCCGGAAGAGGAGAGUGGAAUUCCUGGUGUAGCGGUGAAAUGCGCAGAUAUCAGGAAAAACACCCGUGGCGAAGGCGGCUCUCUGGGACGGUACUGACGCUGAGACGCGAAAGCGUGGGGAGCGAACAGG